Molecule: long non-coding RNA, 1184 nt
Organism: Serinus canaria (Common canary)
Lineage: Eukaryota; Metazoa; Chordata; Aves; Passeriformes; Fringillidae
Exons: 5
Source: RefSeq, a predicted model, not a curated record
GACAAAGCACAGAAAGUUUUCCAAGUCCAUUUCAGAAUAUCAGAUGCCCUUAAAGGUUUGAAAGGACUUAUCAGUCAGCAACUUUGGAAGAGCAUUUCAAACCCACUGCCAAAACAAUGGGUCAGCUAAAUACUCUGCAUGUUUAAUGCCACAUCUGAGUUUUUGCAUAUGAGUGAAACUGCAGCUCUGGGACGAUUCAGGGAGUUUUCUCUGCAGAGUAAUUUUGGUUCUUGUGCUGAUUUCUUACAGCCUUUCCACUGCUAUUACAGCUCUGGUAUCCUAUAGCAAGUAAGAACAUAACAUUACAACUGUUCACACGUGGGAGAUGGAGGAACUGCAUUAAGAGCCCAUCAGAUAGGAAAGACCAUGGUUGCUGUCUGAACAGGUUGGCCCUGUAGGGACAGGUUUCAAGUGGCAGCCGUGUGGGAUACAGGGCCUGAAGGAGAUGCUCAGCACCCACCAUUAUAGGAUUCUGAUUUUUUCUUGACUUUGACCCACCGCUGGCCAAGGUCGAGCCCAUCAGUGAUGGUGGUGGAGCCUCGUGGAUGGUGUAGUCAAGAAGUGGGAGAAACCCCCACCAAUCUGGGGUGCAACAGCUGCUGGAGGAAGGAGUGAGAAUAUGUGAGAGGAACAACCCAACCUACCCCCAGGUCAGUGCAGAAGGAGGGGGACGGGCUGCUCUAGGUGCCAGAGCUGAGUGAAACAGGCUGUGCCCCUGCAGCCCAGGGAGGUUCAGGAUGGAGCACAGAUCCACCUGCAGCCUAUGGAGAAGAAGUGACCCCAUGGGAAGCCUGCACUGGAGCAGACUUCUGACAGGAUCUGUGCCCCUGUGAAGAGAGGAGUCCAUGUUGGAGCAGGUUUGCUGGCAGGGCUUGAGACCCUGUGGGGUACAGUCUAGAGCAGCCUGUUCCUGCAGGAGUGCACCCCGUGAAAGGGAUCCAUGCUGGCUGGAGCAGUUCAUAAAGAACUGUAGUCCAUGGGAAAGACUCACAUUGGAGAAGUUUGUGGGGACUCUCUCCUGUGGGGUGGACCUCAUGCUGGAGCAGUGGAAGAGCGUGAGGAGUCUGCCUGCUGAGGAGGAAGGGGCAGAAAGGACACCAUGGGAUGAACUGACCACAGCCCCAUUCCCCCUCCCUCUCCUGCUGUUGGGAUGGAAGAGGCAGAGAAAUCAGGAGAGAAGCUGA